This 489-nucleotide ribosomal RNA is filed under the name uncultured bacterium. RNAcentral describes it as "bacterial SSU rRNA". It matches the Rfam family "Bacterial small subunit ribosomal RNA", at positions 28 to 377 of the family's 1533-position model. The record is from RNAcentral.
GACGAACGCUGGCGGCGUGCCUAACACAUGCAAGUCGAGCGGAGAUUUCUUUGGCACUGAGUACUCUAGUAGUGACGCAAAGGAAGCGUCAUGAAGAAACAACAUAGAUGUUAAAAACACUGAUAAAAGUUUCUUCAUCACGCGUUUAUAAAGUGCCAACACAUAACAACAAGAAGAAUUAGAGUAUUGAGUGCCAAAGAAUCUUAGCGGCGGACGGGUGAGUAACACGUGGGCAACCUGCCUUGGAGUGGGGGAUAACACCGGGAAAUCGGUGCUAAUACCGCAUAACAUACACAAGCUGCAUGGUAUGUGUAUCAAAGGAGUAAUCCGCUUUAAGAUGGGCCCGCGGCUGAUUAGCUAGUUGGUAAGGUAACGGCUUACCAAGGCGACGAUCAGUAGCCGACCUGAGAGGGUGACCGGGCCACACUGGAACUGAGACACGGUCCAGACUCCUACGGGAGCAGCAGUGGGGAAUUUGGACAAUGGGCC